GCCAGUGUGGUGUAGUGGUUUGAGUGUUGGACUAUGACUCUGGAGACCAGGGUUCGAUUCCCCACUAGGCCA
This 72-nucleotide transfer RNA is filed under the name Phrynosoma platyrhinos (Desert horned lizard). RNAcentral describes it as "tRNA-OTHER". Lineage: Eukaryota; Metazoa; Chordata; Lepidosauria; Squamata; Phrynosomatidae. The record is from RNAcentral.